UUAACUGAAACCAAAAAGAGGUAUAUUACUGUUAAUAAUAUAAUUGAAUAAUAUAUAAUUCCAGUUAAG
RNAcentral lists this transfer RNA (69 nucleotides) under Gyna caffrorum. Its description in RNAcentral is "tRNA-Asn". The record is from RNAcentral. Lineage: Eukaryota; Metazoa; Arthropoda; Insecta; Blattodea; Blaberidae.